UUCUCCACAGAGGGCUGGUCACCUCCUCCCCAUGCUGUACUGCCCAGUGCAGUAGUCGGGAGCUGACCUUGUUCGUGAAGACAGAGGCAAAAAAAGCAUUGAGUACAUUAGCUUUUUUCACAUCCUGUGUCACUAGGUUUCCUCCCUUAUUCAAUAGGGGGCCCAAACUUCCAUUGACUUGCUUCUUGUUGCUAACAUAUUUCUAUUGUCCCAUGGAUAAUGUGAGUGUGUCCUUCCUUUCAGGAACCAGGGAGCAUCACAUUUAUACCAUUCCUCCUAUUGCAAAGUUAUUGUUGGAGUCACCCAUGAUACAGAUUGUAUCGUCAUUGCCAGUUCUCAUGUUGCUCUGGGUUUUGCUGAAGAGCAGCUAUACUGGGAACUUUUCAAAUUAGAUGUAAAUAAAGAGGAGAUGGAGCAGGAAAGUAAGUAUCAUUUCAGCCUCUGUGACAUUGGAAGGAGAUGGGGUGACUCAGAGAUUCCCUCCUUCCCCAUCACUGCAGAACUGUUACCUUUUCUCUGAGUCAUGUAGAGUUUAUCUUCAUCACAUUCUAUCCCUCCACUUCUCAAAGUUUCUUGUGAUGAAGCAUUCUCCGUUGUCUGUGCUUGGAGAUGCUUUGACUUCUUUAAUCCUGUAUCGGAGUUGCUAUGACUGGAGAUGAAAGUGUCAAAGACCUGGGAGGGGAAUUCAAAUGGAUCCCAAACACAGUGUGAUCAUUCGGAGUUUAAAUCCCAGGUUCCAUCUCUUGGUAAAGCCACUUCCGGCAAGGUGGCUGUUUUUUCCCCCAUUAUGUGGGUGCUAGAAUACUAAAAAUCUUGUAAAUAACAUAACUGACUAUUGAGACAGUGCUAAGUGAAGUAUGUUUGAAUGGAUCAGAGGAUAAUGUGAUGGGAGAAUCUCUUGUCCUGAUUCUGAAUAAUCAGAUGUAACCUGCUCUGGAAUUUCACUUGACACUUUCAUUGUCAUUACUUCUCACUUCAUCGGAUCUCUCUGUGAUGUGGCUUUCUAUCUUUCCUGAAGGCUGUUUGGUCACCCAGUUGGAUAUUAGUUCUGUUUGGUAGGAUGUAACUCAGAUUUAUUGGAGAAUUUAAGACCAAUGAUCAUUUGCUAAAGUCAUGAUUUCUCACUUCAGCUUUGCUUUUUCCCCAUCCCUCCAUGAUGACAUGGAGACAGUUCAAGUGCAGUUCUGUCAACAGGAGAGAACUCUCCAGUUUACUGGACAUGCUAAAAAAGAAACAGCCGUGAUUUAAAAUCUCCACUCGGAAAUGGUGAACAACAGCAGAACCCGAAUUAACUGAAGGAAGUGCAUAUGGUCACAGUCUAGUUCAACUGUUGAAGUCAAUAUUGUC
This is a long non-coding RNA of Chelonia mydas (Green sea turtle), 1347 nucleotides long. RefSeq lists it as uncharacterized. The record is from RefSeq and is a predicted model, not a curated record. Lineage: Eukaryota; Metazoa; Chordata; Testudines; Cheloniidae. The transcript has 3 exons.